Molecule: long non-coding RNA, 430 nt
Organism: Oppia nitens
Lineage: Eukaryota; Metazoa; Arthropoda; Arachnida; Sarcoptiformes; Oppiidae
Exons: 3
Source: RefSeq, a predicted model, not a curated record
UAAUACUUAACACACGUGUCGUGUAUUUUCACAUUUCAUUUCAUUUCAAUCACUGCUAACAUUAGGUUGUCUUUGUUAUGAAUCUAAUGGUCAUCAAUGGUCUGCUAAAGACAAUGAUUAUACGAUUGACACUACUAAAAGACGUGGAUGUGGUUAUCAUGAAAAUGACAUGAAUUUGAUCCACUGAUGGCAUAAUUUGCCAAUUGUAAUAAACACCGGAAGCGCUCACAUGUCCAACACGUGGACAAAGAUGAAGAUUGAAUGAAUGAUAACACGUGGUUGUGAUGAUAGUGUGAAUUAUCAAUGAUUCAAACAGUAAGUUGUAAUUUGUUUGUUAUUUUUUUGUGUUAAUCUAAUGGUUAAUGUGAUGAUAAAUUACCGGCGAAGUGACAAAACCAUGAAUUAUGUGAUUUAAUCACAUAUUAAAUUA